GACGUAGGGCGCGAGCGUUGUUCGGAUUUACUGGGCGUAAAGGGCGCGUAGGCGGCUUAACAAGUCACUUGUGAAAUCUCCGGGCUUAACUCGGAACGGCCAAGUGAAACUGUCAAGCUAGAGUGCAGAAGGGGCAAUCGGAAUUCUUGGUGUAGCGGUGAAAUGCGUAGAUAUCAAGAGGAACACCUGAGGUGAAGACGGGUUGCUGGGCUGACACUGACGCUGAGGCGCGAAAGCCAGGGGAGCAAACGGG
RNAcentral lists this ribosomal RNA (253 nucleotides) under uncultured bacterium. RNAcentral describes it as "partial 16S ribosomal RNA". It matches the Rfam family "Bacterial small subunit ribosomal RNA", at positions 524 to 776 of the family's 1533-position model. The record is from RNAcentral.